GAGUUUAUACUCCUCAUUCCUACUAUCAAUCUCAUCAAAAUAAGGUUUUAAUCGGGUGUUGUUUACCUUAAAAGUGUCAAACCUGGGAUGACUCACCUCUACCGUACCGAAUGGAAAAAUACUGAGUACCGUAAGAGGGAUUUCCUCAUUCGGUGUGGUACUGACAAUGUGGGGAUCUGUGGCAUCUAAUAAGACCUUAUCACCAACCUUAAGUUGAUUUGGGGAGGUAUCGGGCUCGUUUUGGCAUAGUUUCGGUCUGUCGGGUGUUCUUGGUUUGUGCGUUUGCCAUUCAUCAAGUUCCUCAAUUUGUAAUCUUCGAUCUACAUGAACAGGUC
RNAcentral lists this long non-coding RNA (335 nucleotides) under Gossypium barbadense (sea-island cotton). RNAcentral's name for it is "long non-coding RNA (GBAR_LNC023001)". The record is from RNAcentral. Lineage: Eukaryota; Viridiplantae; Streptophyta; Magnoliopsida; Malvales; Malvaceae.